GUUAUAUGGUCAAGUGAAGAAGCGCAUACGGUGGAUGCCUUGGCAGUCAGAGGCGAUGAAAGACGUGGUAGCCUGCGAAAAGCUUCGGGGAGUCGGCAAACAGACUUUGAUCCGGAGAUCUCUGAAUGGGGGAACCCACCUAGGAUAACCUAGGUAUCUUGUACUGAAUCCAUAGGUGCAAGAGGCGAACCAGGGGAACUGAAACAUCUAAGUACCCUGAGGAAAAGAAAUCAACCGAGAUUCCCUUAGUAGUGGCGAGCGAACGGGGAUUAGCCCUUAAGCUUCAUUGAUUUUAGCGGAACGCUCUGGAAAGUGCGGCCAUAGUGGGUGAUAGCCCCGUACGCGAAAGGAUCUUUGAAGUGAAAUCGAGUAGGACGGAGCACGAGAAACUUUGUCUGAACAUGGGGGGACCAUCCUCCAAGGCUAAAUACUACUGACUGACCGAUAGUGAACCAGUACCGUGAGGGAAAGGCGAAAAGAACCCCGGAGAGGGGAGUGAAAUAGAACCUGAAACCGUAUGCGUACAAGCAGUGGGAGCCUACUUGUUAGGUGACUGCGUACCUUUUGUAUAAUGGGUCAGCGACUUAUAUUCAGUGGCAAGCUUAACCGUAUAGGGUAGGCGUAGCGAAAGCGAGUCUUAAUAGGGCGUUUAGUCGCUGGGUAUAGACCCGAAACCGGGCGAUCUAUCCAUGAGCAGGUUGAAGGUUAGGUAACACUGACUGGAGGACCGAACCCACUCCCGUUGAAAAGGUAGGGGAUGACUUGUGGAUCGGAGUGAAAGGCUAAUCAAGCUCGGAGAUAGCUGGUUCUCCUCGAAAGCUAUUUAGGUAGCGCCUCAUGUAUCACUCUGGGGGGUAGAGCACUGUUUCGGCUAGGGGGUCAUCCCGACUUACCAAACCGAUGCAAACUCCGAAUACCCAGAAGUGCCGAGCAUGGGAGACACACGGCGGGUGCUAACGUCCGUCGUGAAAAGGGAAACAACCCAGACCGCCAGCUAAGGUCCCAAAGUUGUGGUUAAGUGGUAAACGAUGUGGGAAGGCUUAGACAGCUAGGAGGUUGGCUUAGAAGCAGCCAUCCUUUAAAGAAAGCGUAAUAGCUCACUAGUCGAGUCGGCCUGCGCGGAAGAUGUAACGGGGCUCAAACCACACACCGAAGCUGCGGGUGUCACGUAAGUGACGCGGUAGAGGAGCGUUCUGUAAGCCUGUGAAGGUGAGUUGAGAAGCUUGCUGGAGGUAUCAGAAGUGCGAAUGCUGACAUGAGUAACGACAAUGGGUGUGAAAAACACCCACGCCGAAAGACCAAGGGUUCCUGCGCAACGUUAAUCGACGCAGGGUUAGUCGGUUCCUAAGGCGAGGCUGAAAAGCGUAGUCGAUGGGAAACAGGUUAAUAUUCCUGUACUUCUGGUUACUGCGAUGGAGGGACGGAGAAGGCUAGGCCAGCUUGGCGUUGGUUGUCCAAGUUUAAGGUGGUAGGCUGAAAUCUUAGGUAAAUCCGGGGUUUCAAGGCCGAGAGCUGAUGACGAGUCGUCUUUUAGAUGACGAAGUGGUUGAUGCCAUGCUUCCAAGAAAAGCUUCUAAGCUUCAGGUAACCAGGAACCGUACCCCAAACCGACACAGGUGGUCGGGUAGAGAAUACCAAGGCGCUUGAGAGAACUCGGGUGAAGGAACUAGGCAAAAUGGCACCGUAACUUCGGGAGAAGGUGCGCCGGCUAGGGUGAAGGAUUUACUCCGUAAGCUCUGGCUGGUCGAAGAUACCAGGCCGCUGCGACUGUUUAUUAAAAACACAGCACUCUGCAAACACGAAAGUGGACGUAUAGGGUGUGACGCCUGCCCGGUGCCGGAAGGUUAAUUGAUGGGGUUAGCGCAAGCGAAGCUCUUGAUCGAAGCCCCGGUAAACGGCGGCCGUAACUAUAACGGUCCUAAGGUAGCGAAAUUCCUUGUCGGGUAAGUUCCGACCUGCACGAAUGGCGUAACGAUGGCGGCGCUGUCUCCACCCGAGACUCAGUGAAAUUGAAAUCGCUGUGAAGAUGCAGUGUAUCCGCGGCUAGACGGAGAGACCCCGUGAACCUUUACUGUAGCUUUGCACUGGACUUUGAGCCUGCUUGUGUAGGAUAGGUGGGAGGCUUUGAAGCGUGGACGCCAGUUCGCGUGGAGCCAUCCUUGAAAUACCACCCUGGCAUGCUUGAGGUUCUAACUCUGGUCCGUGAUCCGGAUCGAGGACAGUGUAUGGUGGGCAGUUUGACUGGGGCGGUCUCCUCCUAAAGAGUAACGGAGGAGUACGAAGGUGCGCUCAGACCGGUCGGAAAUCGGUCGCAGAGUAUAAAGGCAAAAGCGCGCUUGACUGCGAGACAGACACGUCGAGCAGGUACGAAAGUAGGUCUUAGUGAUCCGGUGGUUCUGUAUGGAAGGGCCAUCGCUCAACGGAUAAAAGGUACUCCGGGGAUAACAGGCUGAUACCGCCCAAGAGUUCAUAUCGACGGCGGUGUUUGGCACCUCGAUGUCGGCUCAUCACAUCCUGGGGCUGAAGCCGGUCCCAAGGGUAUGGCUGUUCGCCAUUUAAAGUGGUACGCGAGCUGGGUUUAGAACGUCGUGAGACAGUUCGGUCCCUAUCUGCCGUGGACGUUUGAGAUUUGAGAGGGGCUGCUCCUAGUACGAGAGGACCGGAGUGGACGAACCUCUGGUGUUCCGGUUGUCACGCCAGUGGCAUUGCCGGGAAGGUGAAGUCG
RNAcentral lists this ribosomal RNA (2725 nucleotides) under Pseudomonas aeruginosa. RNAcentral describes it as "23S ribosomal RNA". It matches the Rfam family "Bacterial large subunit ribosomal RNA". Lineage: Bacteria; Pseudomonadati; Pseudomonadota; Gammaproteobacteria; Pseudomonadales; Pseudomonadaceae. The record is from RNAcentral.